AGGGGGAAAGAUUUAUCGUUGUCAGAUGAGUUUGCAUGGGAUUAGCUAGUUGGUGAGGUAAUGGCUCACCAAGGCAAUGAUCUCUAGCCGACCUGAGAGGGUGAUCGGCCACAUUGGGACUGAGAUACGGCCCAGACUCCUACGGGAGGCAGCAGUGGGGAAUAUUGGACAAUGGGCGCAAGCCUGAUCCAGCUAUGUCGCGUGAAUGAUGAAGGUCUUAUGGAUUGUAAAGUUCUUUCAGUGGGGAUGAUAAUGACAGUACCCACAUAAGAAGCCCCGGCUAACUCCGUGCCAGCAGCCGCGGUAAUACGGAGGGGGCUAGCGUUAUUCGGAAUGAUUGGGCGUAAAGGGCGCGUAGGCGGCUUUGUAAGUCUUUAGUGAAAUCCCCGAGCUUAACUUGGGAAUGGCUAAAGAUACUGCAAAGCUAGAGUGUGGGAGGGGGCAGUGGAAUCCUUGGUGUAGAGGUGAAAUUCUUAGAUAUCAGGGAGAACGUCGGUGGCGAAAGCGACUGCCUAGAACACAACUGACGCUGAGGCGCGAAAGCGUGGGGAGCAAAUCGGAUUAGAUACCCGAGUAGUCCACGCAGUAAACGAUGAGUACUAGGAGGUGGUUCAGGCCACUUCCGCAGCUAACGCAUUAAGUACUCCGCCUGAGGAUUACGGUCGCAAGAUUAAAACUCAAGGGAAUUGACGGGGACCCGCACAAGCGGUGGAGCAUGUUGUUUAAUUCGAUGCUACGCGAAAAACCUUACCACUUCUUGACAUGCUUGUUUUAUAGAUACGAGAGUAUCUUGUGUUAUCAGCAAUGAUAACGGCAAGCACAAGUGUUGCAUGGCUGUCGUCAGCUCGUGUCGUGAGAUGUUGGGUUAAGUCCCGCAACGAGCGCAACCCUUAUCUUUAUUUGCCAGCACGUAAUGGUGGGAACUAUAAAGAGACUGCCGGCCUUAAGCCGGAGGAAGGUGGGGACGAUGUCAAGUCAUCAUGGCCUUUAUGAAGUGGGCUACAAACGUGCUACAAUGGCGAUUACAACGAGACGCAAUAUCGUGAGAUGGAGCAAAUCUAAAAAAAUCGCCUCAGUUCGGAUCGCACUCUGCAACUCGAGUGCGUGAAGUCGGAAUCGCUAGUAAUCGCGGAUCAGAAUGCCGCGGUGAAUACGUUCUCGGGUCUUGUACACACUGCCCGUCACAUCACGGAAAUCGGUUUUGCCUGAAGUAUGCACGCCAACCAGCAAUGGAGGCAGCAUCCUAUGGCAGGACUGGUGACUGGGGUUAAGUCGUAACAAGGUA
RNAcentral lists this ribosomal RNA (1285 nucleotides) under metagenome. RNAcentral's name for it is "bacterial SSU rRNA". It matches the Rfam family "Bacterial small subunit ribosomal RNA", at positions 197 to 1498 of the family's 1533-position model. The record is from RNAcentral.